Molecule: ribosomal RNA, 301 nt
Filed under: uncultured bacterium
Lineage: Bacteria
Description: partial 16S ribosomal RNA
Rfam family: Bacterial small subunit ribosomal RNA
Source: RNAcentral
CAGUAGCCGCGGUAAUACGUAGGGGGCGAGCGUUGUCCGAAGUUACUGGGCGUAAAGAGCGCGCAGGCGGGUUCUUAAGUGAGGGGUGAAAGUCCGAGGCUCAACCUCGGAACUGCCUUUCAUACUGGGAACCUUGAGUGCGGGAGAGGAGAGUGGAAUUCCACGUGUAGCGGUGAAAUGCGUAGAGAUGUGGAGGAACACCAGUGGCGAAGGCGACUCUCUGGUCUGUAACUGACGCUGAGGGGCGAAAGCGUGGGGAGCGAACAGGAUUAGAUACCCCAGUAGUCCCUGUCUCUUAUAA